Molecule: ribosomal RNA, 482 nt
Filed under: uncultured bacterium
Lineage: Bacteria
Description: bacterial SSU rRNA
Rfam family: Bacterial small subunit ribosomal RNA
Source: RNAcentral
GAUGAACGCUAGCGGGAGGCUUAACACAUGCAAGUCGAGGGGUAACAGGGUAGCAAUACCGCUGACGACCGGCGCACGGGUGAGUAACGCGUAUGCAACCUGCCUAUAACUGGGGAAUAGCUCCCUGAAAGGGGAAUUAACACCGCAUAACACUAUUGAUUCGCAUGGAUUGGUAGUUAAAUGUAGCGAUACAGGUUAUAGAUGGGCAUGCGUGACAUUAGCUAGUUGGUGAGGUAACGGCUCACCAAGGCUACGAUGUCUAGGGGUUCUGAGAGGAAGGUCCCCCACACUGGUACUGAGACACGGACCAGACUCCUACGGGAGCAGCAGUGAGGAAUAUUGGUCAAUGGGCGCAAGCCUGAACCAGCCAUGUCGCGUGCAGGAAGACUGCCCUAUGGGUUGUAAACUGCUUUUAAGUAGAAGAAACACAUCUACGUGUAGAUGUCUGCCAGUAUACUAUGAAUAAGCAUCGGCUAACUCCG